This 722-nucleotide long non-coding RNA is filed under the name Elaeis guineensis (African oil palm). Its description in RNAcentral is "long non-coding RNA (EGUI_LNC048359)". Lineage: Eukaryota; Viridiplantae; Streptophyta; Magnoliopsida; Arecales; Arecaceae. The record is from RNAcentral.
UUUUCCUAUCUUAUGAUGGGUUAAAAUUAAGAGUGGUUAAUAUUUUGAAAUAAAUAAAUAAAUGAAUGAAUGAUGAUGAAUGAAGUUCUUAUGCAAGAAUAGAGACAUUGACCUUUUUCUAUUCACAAGAGAUAGAUUUGAUUUUAAUUUGAGUCAUGAGAUAUUGAAUGUUAAUUUUUACAGGAAAUAAGAUCAUAAUUUUGAAAUCUUGAAAUAUUGAAAAUCUUUGAGAUGUUGAUCUUAAUAAAUAAGAAAAUGGAUGGUUCCGUUCAGAUCGAUAUUUGAUGUACCGAUUUUUUCUUAUGAAAUGAUUUAAGAAUGAAUUUAUAUCAAGAAUUAAAAUAUUUAUGGAUGAGAUUCAAAUAAGAAACUAUGAAGACUCAAGCAAGGAAAAAUUUCGAGGACGAAAUUUCUUUUAGAGGGGAAGAAUGUGAGGCCUGGCCCAAGCAACGAAUCCUAAGCCCAAAAAAAAAAGAAAAACAGAGCAGGAAGACCCUAGGACGAGCUCUAUAAGAACCCUUCCCCUCUCCUCUAUGGGUAGACCCUUCCGUCGCCGUCGAUUGCCGAAGAUUUUUCUCCAAUUUUCCCGUUUGAAGCCGUGACUCCUCGACCCAUGUUCGCCGCGAUUUCUCGCCGGUGGGGGUCACCGGAGGUUGUGGUAAGGUCUCCCUCCUCUCCCUCUCUUCUCUCCCUUCUUUCUCGUGCCUGUGUGCACGAUGGCC